UCAGUGUUCUUAAAAUAGCUGCCAUAGUACUUGACAACAUAGGGGCUGUCACAUUGCUGCAUUAUAGAGAUUUCUUUAAUUAUCUCUUGAAGGUCAGACUCCACAGGGACCUGCUUAAUUGCUACAACUUGUCCAGACUCUUUGUGUAUUGCUUUAAACACGCUACCAUAAGACCCUUCACCAAGUUUCUCCAGAACAUCAAAGACCUCUUCAGGCUGCUUAGUUAAACUGUCCUCACUGAGCUUUUUCAGUUUGCUCUUGGGCGCUGCCUGCUCCAUGCCGCCGCCGUCCCCCGGCCGCCGUCUGGGCAGCACCGGGCCGGCGCCCGCCCAACUCCUCGCAACUUUUCCUGCGCGCGCAGCUGGCCCUUUAAGCGCGGCUCGCGCCCUCCCUCGGCCGCGGACGUCGCCGGCCUCUCAGGCAACCGCCGCUACCGCUGCCUACCCCGGG
RNAcentral lists this long non-coding RNA (450 nucleotides) under Gallus gallus (chicken). The record is from RNAcentral. Lineage: Eukaryota; Metazoa; Chordata; Aves; Galliformes; Phasianidae.